This is an RNA transcript of Lotus japonicus, 2504 nucleotides long. It is a transcript of the gene named pre-mRNA-splicing factor sap145-like, with no coding region annotated. Lineage: Eukaryota; Viridiplantae; Streptophyta; Magnoliopsida; Fabales; Fabaceae. The transcript is spliced from 3 exons. The record is from RefSeq and is a predicted model, not a curated record.
UUCCCUCAUCUUGCUUCGUAGGUCUCAUCUCCACCACACCAAGAACUCACCUCCUUUCUCCGACCUCCUCAAAACCCAUCCCUGAUUGUCACUUGAGAUGCAGACCUGAAUCAUUUUCUGAGACAUCGAAUUCCUCUGCCAGAGGAACAUGCUUCAGUGUUCUAUGGCAUUCACGAAUCGAUUGUCCUUGCAACAUGCCCCCUCUCUGAUAAACACAUUAUUCAUUUUGUGUAUUUUGAUUUCUUCCUGCUUUCAUCCAUGAUCCAUGUCUUCUUUUUUUAUUUUGAUUGUUUGGUUGCAGGUCUUCUCAAUGAUGGGAUGAUCACAAAGGGUUUGGUUGUUUCUCUACUUCUGAUUAGGCAGUCAAUGACCAUUUCAGUUUAAUAUUAAUUUUCAGAGUUUGUUACAAGUUUUAUAUAGGUUCAUCAGUUUGAUAAGCAAGGUUGGAUGAAAUAAACAAUUUAAAGCCUAUAAGUUAACAAUGUGCUAUACUGAUGCAGGGUUGGAGAAAAAUCUAACUGAGGUUGAGUUGUUGCGGAUGAGAAGAGAGAGAGUAUAUGAGGUUCAAAGGAAAAUGGACCAAUCGGAACUUGAACACGACUUGAGUGGCUUGGAUGUAAGUAAUUGUUAGUCUCCAUCAAAAUGCUGCAAUUACAUUUAAAUAUGUUUUUCCACUCAUGUGCACUUUAUGUAAAAACUUUUUGGACUUACCAUGUAAUACCCAUCUAGGUAACCAGCCCAGUUUAAUAAAUGUUAUGGCUUUUGAUUCAGUUUUGUUUUGAGAGUGAAAGUCACAAUUUGAGUUUUCCAUUUAGUUUUGGUCAGUUCUAAUUUUGAAAGCUUAAUUUCCUUUGUUUUUGGUGAAUGUCUCAAGGUCAUUGUAUAGUUAGUUGUUUUAAUUCAUAUUGUUACUUUUGAACAGGAAAACUUAUGAUCACAUGAUUUUGUAUCUGUUUUUUUUAUAGUAAUUAGCAUGUUAUUCUAUAGAUAACACUUCACUCUUUUGGUACAAUUCGAAGGGGAAUUUCUAACACUAGUGAGUUAUUUUGAUGAUGGUUUUUGCACAUUACUCAUGGAAAUAAAUGGUGUGGACUUCUUCUGUUAAUACCAAGUUAGCAGAGCCGCUUGCCCAUAAAAAAAGUUGGUAACCCUUUUUUUUAAUAGUAUUUUGAGCAUGUUUGGAAAUUCUUCUGUAAUUGAUUCUGGAGAAAAAAUUGAGGAAGAAGCUUAGUGAGCAGCUUCUCCUUGUGCCAGAAUUGAUUCUAGAGAAAAAAUAAGUUGAUCCAAGCAUGCUAUAAAAGUAUAUAUGGAGCCCAAGGAAGAAAAUUGAUGGACAUUGCUUCCAGUUUUUAAUGCAUUGUUUGCGAAAGGUGAUGUUAAUGGAUUGUUGUGUUUGAGGAGCUCCAUUGAAAUUAAGGUUGAAGAUUUAAAUUUUGUGAGUUAAGGUGCUUCCACAAAGUUUCAAGCUGUCCUGGGUUGGGGCGAAAUUGAGGAAGCUGUAUUUGGGAGUGGGGUUUAACGUCUUACUAUUGCAAACAGAUUGCUAAACAUAGUGAAGGAUUAUUAUUUUCUACUUGGCUUUGGGUCAAAGUUUUAGCGAGGUAAGGUUUAUUUUACCCAUUGUUUGGCUUCUUACUGCAGUUGACAAUUUAUAGCUUUCAUUGAAGAAAAGAUGGUCUUUGGCAUUGUGAAUUCAUGUUUAAUGGGCUUUCUGCAGUUUUGUUUGUGUGAGUGCCUUUCUUUUUAGGAAAAUGUGUCUUUUGGCAAAAUAUAUUGGUGUUUUCUGUGGAUCAAGAUCUAUGCAUGUCCGAUAUUUGUUGGACUACAUUGCUUUAUUAUCCGAUAUUUUGAUUGUUUGAUUGAUUGAAUGGAAGAAUUACAAUUAAUUUUUCAUGUCCCUUUGUGAAUGGAAGCAUCGCUCAAUUAAGCUUGAAAGCAUUACUUUUGCCAUUAUAUAAUGCUUCUACUAAUAAGAAGGCUGAUUCAAUUCCAAAGAUGAAGAAGAAAAUGAUAAUGAGCUAAAAAAGAAAGGCAUCUCAAACAAGAAAAAGUUGUGACAAUAUGUAACAUGCUUAUUUUAUUUUUGCUGCUUAUCCAUUUUUUACUGCCGUCUUCCUUUUGAGAACUGUACUGAAAGGUUUAAUUUGGUUUCAGCUUCUUUCUAUUAAUUUGGCAUCAUGGCCAUUUUGGAAAUGCUUGGUAGUUUCUUUUUCAUUUUCCAGGUGUGGGAUGCUACUGCAUCAGACCCAAAGUUGCUGGGGUUUUUGAAAUCUUAUAGCAAUACCGUACCUAUGCCUAGGCAUUGGAGUCAGAAGAGAGUUUUUGCAGGGGAGAGGCUGUGGCAAUUACCAAGCCUGGACCUGUAGGUGUUUGGCAAUGGGCAUCCUUGAGUUAUUUGUCUUUUAUUAUCUGUUGUAUUGAACUGGCAUAUUAUGUGAUAUAAUGGGGAUAUAUAAUCAUGUGAUAUUUUUGCAUAAUAUUAUUGGGCAUUGAUUUAUGAUAAA